RNAcentral lists this ribosomal RNA (497 nucleotides) under uncultured bacterium. Its description in RNAcentral is "partial 16S ribosomal RNA". It matches the Rfam family "Bacterial small subunit ribosomal RNA", at positions 28 to 507 of the family's 1533-position model. The record is from RNAcentral.
GAUGAACGCUGGCGGCGUGCCUAAUACAUGCAAGUCGAGCGAACAGACGAGGAGCUUGCUCCUCUGACGUUAGCGGCGGACGGGUGAGUAACACGUGUAUAACCUACCUAUAAGACUGGGAUAACUUCGGGAAACUGGAGCUAAUACCGGAUAAUAUAUUGAACCGCAUGGUUCAAUAGUGAAAGACGGUUUUGCUGUCACUUAUAGAUGGAUCCGCGCCGCAUUAGCUAUUUGGUACGGUAACGGCUUACCAAGGCAACGAUGGGUAGCCGACCUGAGAGGGUGAUCGGCCACACUGGAACUGAGCCACGGUCCAGACUCAUACGGGAGGAAGCAGAAGGGAAUGUUCCGCAAUGGGCGAAAGCCUGACGGAGCAACGCCGCGUGAGUGAUGAAGGUCUUCGGAUCGUAAAACUCUGUUAUUAGGGAAGAACAAAUGUGUAAGUAACUAUGCACGUCUUGACGGUACCUAAUCAGAAAGCCACGGCUAACUACGUG